AUCACUGCUGUUCAGAGUUGGCUGAGAAGAGGGGCAGGCUCAAGACCACUUCCUUUGCUUGAGGAACGCAGCUACCGCACUAGCACAGGACUGGCCUGGGGAACACAGCAGAAAACAAUUUUCAGGAUCUCCCUUGGCAACUGGGUUGACUGGACUUCCACUAGGUGAGAAGAAUCAUAGAGACAAAGUUAGAUUCAGAGGCAUACUGCUUCUGAGACAAGAACCCGGCCAUAUAAAUGAAUUCAAUUUCCAGUGACCAACGGGAAGCUCCAGAGUACCACAGAAGUAGCUGUUCUAGGAGAGGAGAUGCCAAAAAUCUGAUGAGAGACCUUGUUCUUUUAGUCCUACAUUCUGGCCUCGCAAUUUGCGCAUCAAGGUCAUGUACUGCCUCGAAUAGUUUGUGUGCUCUGCGUCCAGCUGCUGGAACUGGCUCAGAAGAACCUGAGAUAAAUAUAUGACACCUCUCCCUUGGUACCAUGUCCUGACCCACACCCGCUGGCUAUCUUGACUUGACUGUUUAUAUUGUUAUGUCAACUUUAUUUCUUAUCAGGUAACUAAAGAUGGGCCAAAAGAAUGUGGAAUGCUUUUCCAUACCUCUGCAUACAGGGUCAUUUGGAACCUCUACAUACAGGGUCAUUUGGAGGUCCACAGAAUGGACGGGCACUUUGCUACUGCACUAGUUACCCUUGGUGAAUGCCAUGAUGUUCUGUAUAUCAUUGAAGAAAAAAAAUGAUACGUCUUGAAAUGACAGAACCACAGGACGCUUGAGGGCUGGUUGGCAUACUCACAGCUGGACAAAUCUUCCUUCCACAAGUAUGUGCUGGUAUUUUAAGACUUGCAUAAGUGGUGCCUGGGCAUUUUUCACAUUGGGUCAUUAGUUUCUAAAUUCAUACAAAUUCUCCCUGUAGUUUCAAGUGGUUACAAUAGUCUUCAUUUCUUGUAUUGAACUGCUUUACAUAGUCUUGACAUGGACUGUUUAACAACUCUCAUUUUCCAUCCUUGAAAUGCUUGCAUUUCAAUGGUGGGUGAGGGGAUUUUAUAUAUACACAACUAUACACAGAAAGACAGGCACUAUAUAUCUCUGAAUAGGUUAUAUAUAGCAUUCCACCUGCCAAGCACUUUCAAAUGUAGCCCCUGGUUUUGAAUGAGAGCUGUGGAUGUCAGUGAGUGUGAAUGGGACAUGCAGUUGCUCUGAAAAAUCAAGCCCAGUGUGUCACAAGUUGGGCUUCUAAAGACCAAGGCACCCAAACUCAACAGCCACUUUGACUGAUUGUGUGUUUGUGUGUGUGUGAGAGAGAGAGAGACACACACACACAAAUAGUAUCAUAUGGAAAAGUGUGACUUCUACCUCUGNAGAGAGAGAGAGACACACACACAAAUAGUAUCAUAUGGAAAAGUGUGACUUCUACCUCUGAUACAUGCAGUUCCAUUCCUGGAGUGCCACAAGCACAGCACUUG
RNAcentral lists this long non-coding RNA (1458 nucleotides) under Gopherus agassizii (Agassiz's desert tortoise). RNAcentral's name for it is "lncRNA (ENSGAGG00000002979.1)". The record is from RNAcentral. Lineage: Eukaryota; Metazoa; Chordata; Testudines; Testudinidae.